GCCGGCGGGCGGGCGGGCAGGCUGGCGGCGGGCGGUGGAGGGACUUGUUGUUCUUCGCGAAGUCGGAGCCCGAGCGCGCGGCGGAGGCGGCGGCCCCGGGGGAGCGCGGGAGGGAGCGCGAGGAGAGCGCGUGCCCGCGAGGAGCCGCCGCGCGCCCGCGCCCCCGCGCGACGCCAGAUGUACGUCAGAAUGAAGUUUCUGGCUUUGGGUUGAAAACCAGCCUCUUCAGUUAGAAAAAUAGUCGCCCGAAAGGUGUUCCACGUUCUAAGUGCUGACUGCGCCCGCUCCUGACCAGCGGCCCCCUCUGGGCUGAAGGGGACGCGCGUGGUCACUCCCACUUGGAUGGGCAAGUGGGUGCACGCAGCGGACGUGCAGACACACCGUUCCAGACGCAGCCUGGCACGGGCCGCUGAGCUGCUCGGGUGACUGGAGUGGCAUCAGAAAGCCCCUGGGAGCGCGGGCUCUCUGCACACGGCAUCGCUAAGACUUGUCGGUCCGUGGACGUGGGACAGCCCAGCUGGAGCAUCCUCGUGGGCAGCUGUUGGAGAGGCGUUUUUGGCGCUGACGGUUGCUGAUGCGGUGCGAACGUCGGAGCUCAGAGUGGGAGUCAGAACAGGAAGCAACAGCUGCUCACACCUGGCCUCACCCCAAGGCGCUGGUGCUCACAGCACAGGCCCGGCGGGCAGCGCGGGACGGCCGUGUGGCUACCGGGCACUGGGACAAGUGAUUUUCCGCAGUUCUGUCCGGGUGCCUGUCCCAGGUUAUGACGACUAACCCCAAACCGAACAAGGCGUUAAAGGUAAGGGGCCACCCCGUCUCCACCGCGCAGCCCCCUGUCCCAGGACUGCCCGGACCGUGAGGGAGGAAGGCCUGUCACCUGGAAGAGGGCGGGAGGAGGUGUCCCCGAGAGAUGUCGACAGAAUCGAGGGUUGCAGCCUUCGGAGACGCAGGCUUACGUCCAAGGACAUAACUCCUGGGUGGAGGGGGCGGGAGGGAUGGUGCCUCCUGGCCAGGAUGUGCUCAUCGCCCCGGCACCCUGGCGUGGGCAGUGCGGCCUCUGGUCCCGCCAGGCCCCGGGCAGGGCACGUGUGAACGGUGCUGCUCCAGCUCCCCGGGCCUGGCUCCGGCUGCCCGCCUCCUGGGGCUCUCAGCUUUGGAGGCCAGCGUGUGCCCUUGGGCCGGCCGUCUCCUGGCUCGGGAGCAGAGCUGGGUCCCGCUGGAGCGGGGACUCUCGGUAUUUGUGGGCUGUGCCUCUCCAAGCCCCUCCUGAGGCCCUGCAGGUGGAUGUGGCCGUGUCCCGCCAGGCCCUGGCUGGGCCUCCUGGGUCCGAGGGUGCGGAACAGUAGGCUGCCUCGCCUUCCCCUCGCUCCCCUGCCCGUGUCAGUCGUGCACCAGGCGCUGGAGACCCACAGAGGGCAGCACGCGUGCAGGCUGCGGCCUCGCAGAGUUUGGGUGGCAGACAGUAACUGGGUAAUGGCAGGUGGGGCCAACGGCCCCCAUCGGGGACCGUCCUGCCUUACAUCCUGUGCACAAUGUUGAGUGACCCCACAGUGACCGUCCCCAUUCCCUGAUGGAGUGAAGGCCAGCCUGCGAUGCAGGGGGGCCCUGCCAGGAGCCGGGCUCGUCCACGGCAACGUUCCAAGUGGUCCUCUGGGGUCCCUGCAGCGAGGCCUCCCUCGCCCCGGUCCUGACCCCGUGCUGUGGCCCCGCAGGUCAAGAAGGAGGCGGGCGAGAACGCCCCAGUGCUCAGCGACGAUGAGCUGGUGUCCAUGUCGGUGCGGGAGCUGAACCAGCACCUGCGGGGCCUCACCAAGGAGGAGGUGGUCCGUCUGAAGCAGCGCCGGCGCACGCUCAAGAACCGCGGCUACGCCGCCAGCUGCCGCAUCAAGCGGGUGACGCAGAAGGAGGAGCUGGAGCGGCAGCGCGUGGAGCUGCAGCAGGAGGUGGAGAAGCUGGCGCGUGAGAACAGCAGCAUGAAGCUGGAGCUGGACGCCCUGCGCUCCAAGUACGAGGCCCUGCAGACCUUUGCCCGCACCGUGGCGCGCGGGCCCAUCACGCCCACCAAGGUGGCCACCACCAGCGUCAUCACCAUCGUCAAGUCCGCUGAGAUCUCCAGCUCCGUGCCCUUCUCGGCCGCCUCCUAGUGCCGGCCCCGGUUGGGCGAGGGGGCCGGCGGUGGGGCCAGAGGGGCUGUCCCUCGUGCUUGUUGGAGGGUCCCAUGGGGAGCAGACCCCUGAAACCCCGAGUCCAAGCACAGGCUCCCGUGGGGCUCCUGGCGGGGCGAGGUCACAGGGGCCUGAUGAAGAGUUAGGGGCCUGUGAGCCCGUGUGCCGCACGCCUGCCCACACGCCCACACACACGCACAUGCACACACACGCACCUCGCCUUCCUCUGGGCCCUGCCAGCUCUCUGCGGACUGUCUCUCUUCCGGAGCCUGUGUCCUGUGCCGGGGGAGUUGGGAUGUCUGCAGGGAGGGCCCUCAGCAGGUCCCUGGCCCUGUGGCCUGGGUGGCAAGGGCUCCGUCUUCCACCCCUCCCACCAGCAGCCUGUCAACACACGUCAGCGUGCCUGUCCCCCUGCCACCUCAGAAGAGCACCUGCAGCACCAGGGGCCUGGGAGGAGUGGCUGGUUGCAAGUGGUCCUGGGGGGGCCUGUGGGUGCAGGUGCAUGAGUGUUGUGAGUUUUCUCUCUGUGUCGGGGUGGCCGGAAGGAGGUCCCUAUUGAGGAGCAGUGGCAGCCUGGCCUGGGGACCCAGCCCCCACUGCGGCCGCCUCGCAGAGCCCGGGAAGGUGGUGCCCAGCAUGGGAAGGGGGCGAUGGGCCUUGGGGGCUGGGAGGUGGGUGGGGAGCAGGUUCUGUGCGGAACGGCGGGCUGUCAGCGAGGCCUCCGGAGCGGCCAUGGAGCUGGGGGGCGCCCGGCUGCCUGUGGCUCCCACUGCUGGAGGAGGUGAGAGAGCAGGGGGCUGGGUGGGAUCAGAAGACGAGGCGGGCUUGAAUGGGGCAGAGGAGGUGAUGGUGGGCGAGGUGGCAGGCUCUGGGCCAGGAAGUCCACACGGACCGGACGGGCCUCCCGGAAGCACCUGGAUGGUGUGUCAGCACAGAGGAGACGAGGGGACUCUGCGAGCCUGGUGCUGAGUUCCCUGGAACCUUCACCUGCCCUUUCUGGGGCAGGUGACCUUUGCUGGGGCUUCCCUUCCUUGAGAGCCACCGCGGGGGCUCCCUGUGUGGGCUGGGCAUGGACGGCCACUUCUACCCCUCCUGGGAGGAUGCUGGGGCCACGGCCCUGGGUCUGAGUGAGCUGCUGAGCCCCAUCACUGGCCAGAAGCCGCUGGGCUCCAGCUCCCGGUUUCCUCUUGUGCCCUGCCACCCAGGGAGACCCCCAGCAAGCAGGUGUCAGCCAUGCCAGGGUUGGGGGAGGACUGACAGCCCCAAGGGCUGCGUCCAGCUUCUGUGUCUGCUGGCAGGAGCAGACAGGGCACCUGGGCCUCUCCAGCAGCAUUGCCACAUGGCCUUGUCCCUGUCCUGGGAGAAGGCGGAGGGUCUGGGGCGCUGGAUCCUUACACAACCUGGUGUGUAACAGAAAGGCCCGGUGUGUAAGCAAAAGCUGUUGAUCGCAUAGCCAUGGUAGGUAAUCCACAUUGGAUGUCAAUAAGGACCAUGGGGAAAUAUUUAAAAAAGAGAGAAAAGUAUAUAUAUAUAUAUAUAAAAUUAUAUACACAUUUUAUCGUACAGACUUUUCGUAACUCUUUUCCUGUUGGGUACUGUCAGCCUCUUAGAGCAGAGCAGCCGUCGAGGGCAGGGCAGUGGGAACCUGUCGCCACCCCGCCUGGCUCCUCAGGCACCAGCUCGCAGCCCGAGGUGGGAGGCCCGGUCGCCUCCCGCUGCCCUUGGUCUCCCCUCCUGCCCAUCUGACUUGGGUCCCGCAGAUGGCCUGGGCACCUGGGCGCACCCCCUGCCCACCCUGGCCGGCUGUCCUGCCCAGUGGCCGCCCCGGGUUCACAGAGCGCCCCGUCCCGUGGGGUGCAGGUGGGCGAGUGCUGGCUGGGGCCUCGGAGGAGCUGUCCCCGCAGCUGCCCAUUGCCCUCCCGGGAUCAGGGGCCAGGGAAGGAAGACUGGCUCGCUCCCUCCUGCUUUUCUUUUUGGAUCAUUGAGAUGUCAUUGUCACAAUUUUAAUAUAUGGGUUUUUUAUUUAAGACAAAAGGCAGGGACGUCUUUGUGGCGUGGGUUUGUCCUCCUGUGCUUCUGACUCACGAGUCCCUGACACCCGCAGGGCCUGGCCCCCCGGGGGACGGGGCCUCCCCUUCGUAAGCUCGGCACCCACCGGUUUUCCCCGCCUCUGCCUGCCCAGCAGUUUCAUUUCAAUAUUUAUUUUUGUGCUGCUUUUAUCAUGAUAUAAAUUAUUGAGAAGAGACCUUAUGUCGUGGCCCACACCUGCCCUGUCCCCUCACGGCCACCACCUAAUUUAUUGCUGUACAUCUCUGCUGUGACGCUUUUGUACCUUUGCAAUAAAGACUUUUCUGGUUUCA
Long non-coding RNA from Equus caballus (horse), 4525 nucleotides. NCBI's taxonomy places the organism in Eukaryota, Metazoa, Chordata, Mammalia, Perissodactyla, Equidae. The record is from Ensembl.